Molecule: long non-coding RNA, 250 nt
Organism: Cyanistes caeruleus (blue tit)
Lineage: Eukaryota; Metazoa; Chordata; Aves; Passeriformes; Paridae
Source: RefSeq, a predicted model, not a curated record
GUGCCCACCAGCGGCUCUGGCAGCGGAAUCCUCCGCGCCGCUCUCCCACGAGUGUUGUGUUUCCAGUGACAUUGCAAGCCUCUGAAUAAACAUCCCCAAAGAAGGAGGAGCAAGGAGAGAGCCCCGGAGAGAGAACCAGGGAAAGAAUCAGGGGAACUAUCACAAGUAUGUGGCUGCCACUUAGGAGAGCAUCUCUGAAUUGUAAUUAAGGCUCCAUGGCUGUUUCAGGAAAACAGGUUAUGCAUAUUUA